CUUAACACUAAUUGCCUAGUGGAGAAGGCUUGCUCCUUAAGGUCUAACACCCAGACCUAGUACUAAUUUGGAAAAAAUUCACUUAAAUCCUCCCUUUCCCUCCUCAAACUAGAACUUGGCUGUUCCACUCUGACUCCUCUCUGGGGCUUCCCAAUUGAAUCUACCAUCUAACUGCUGAAGAAGGAAGAAAAGCUCACCCCAGAGUUUCCCACUGGUUUAGCACUAAGAGAUUGCAGCUUUCUGAAGAGAAACACAGUGAACGUUUGAGAGGGAUUGCCUGAAUUGCUAAGUAGAAGUAGAGCACUGGACUUCCUAGGCAAGAAGAAGGUCAACUGUGAGUUUUCAGAAAAACAGGAGGCAGCAAGGAGCAAAGAGAACAACCUUAUUUCUUCUCCGUUACCUACCAGGAAACUACACUGCUGCCAUCUACUGACCUCAAAGUCUAAAGAGAGUGGAGUAGAAGAGGAUUACGGCUAGAGGAUUUGCCAGCCAUCUGAUUUAGCAGCACAAUACACUUUUGCCAGGACUUACAAAACUUCCUUCAGAACUCCUGGUGUCAGCUUAUUAAAGUAGAACUGGUCGUGGAUGUUUCACUUCAUGUUGGAGGGAGAAGGAAUGCACCUUUAGAAGACGGAAAGACAUAAAGGACUUUCAUCACUAAAGAUAUUUUGAGAAUGGAUCCAAACAUAAGCCUCACAGUGCACAAAGAAAUGCAUAAAUGAACAUAAAUGAAAUCGUAUGAUUUUUUUCUGUUAUUCCGUGUAUAUCCUCAAGACUAAGA
This is a long non-coding RNA of Ornithorhynchus anatinus (platypus), 781 nucleotides long. RefSeq lists it as uncharacterized. NCBI's taxonomy places the organism in Eukaryota, Metazoa, Chordata, Mammalia, Monotremata, Ornithorhynchidae. The record is from RefSeq and is a predicted model, not a curated record. The transcript has 5 exons.